AUGCCUAAGUUCAACGGAAGCAACGAUCCCGAAGAGUACCUUUCAUGGGCAUUGAAAGUUGACAAGAUCUUCCGUUUGCACAAUUAUGAAGAAGAGAAGAAGAUCACGAUGGCAUCCCUUGAGUUCCAAGACUAUGUCCUUAUUUGGUGGGAACAAGUCAUUGAGCGCCGAGAGGUAAGAGGUGAUCCACCCAUCACUACUUGGGCGCAAAUGAAGGAUGUCAUGAGAGCACACUUCGUCCCUACCUACUACAACCACGACCUCUUCAAGAAACUCCAACAACUCAAGCAAGGAACCAAGAGCGUUGAAGAAUACUACAAGGAGAUGGAUAUUGCAAUGAUAAGAGCCAAUGUCACGGAAGAUGAUGAGCAAACAAUGGCACGCUUCUUGAAUGGCCUCAACCAUCCCAUCAAGAUCGCCGACUUCCAACCAUACUCAAAUCUCAUCGAGCUAGUGCACCAAGCCACCAAAGCGGAACGCCAAGUGCAAGAUGAUUUCAAAUAUGCCAAGUACUCGUCCAAGACCUACGGAUCCUUUAAUCAAGCUCCCGCGACUUCGGCAACUCCUACCUCAACUAGAGCAUCACCAAGUACCGGCGACAAGUCAAGUUACAAGAAGACUUCGACAAGCGCAAGUCGUCCUCCUACUACAAGCAACUUCAAGCCGAAAGCUUCAUCAUCAUCUACUCCAACCGAUGAGACCAUCAAGACAAGUUCCAUCAAAUGUUUCACAUGCGGAUGCCGAGGCCACAAGUCCUUCAAGUGCACAAACAAGCGCACCAUGAUCCUCAAGGACGACGGAACCUACGACUCCAUGAGUGAAGGAGAAAUGGAAGCCCUUGAGCAAGUGGCCAUGCACCGACAAGUGAACAACGAAGACGAAGAUGAUCAAGUCUUUUGUGAUGAAGAUUCAAGUCCCGCUCUUGUUGUCUCCAAGGUCUUGACUCUUCAACAUCAACAAGACGAAGAUCAAAGAUGCCAUAUCUUCCACACAAAGGCCGGUAUCAAUGGACGGUCCGUCAAGGUCAUCAUCGAUGGAGGUAGUUGCCACAACUUAGCAAGUGAAGAAUUAUGCUCCAAACUUCAAUUGGUCAAGAUGAAGGACCCUCACCCCUAUAAGGUUCAAUGGCUAAGUGACACCGGUACCAUACAAGUCGAGCAUCGAGUACAAGUCUCUUUCAAGAUCGGCGCCUAUGAAGACACUUUGGAGUGUGAUGUCCUUCCGAUGACCGUUUGCCACCUCCUUCUUGGGCGGCCAUGGAAAUUUGACCGAGGUGUCAUUCACAAUGGGCAUACCAAUCACUAUAGCUUCAAAAUGUAA
RNAcentral lists this ribosomal RNA (1320 nucleotides) under Triticum aestivum (bread wheat). Its description in RNAcentral is "partial small subunit ribosomal RNA". Lineage: Eukaryota; Viridiplantae; Streptophyta; Magnoliopsida; Poales; Poaceae. The record is from RNAcentral.